RNAcentral lists this long non-coding RNA (595 nucleotides) under Solanum tuberosum (potato). RNAcentral's name for it is "long non-coding RNA (STUB_LNC009924)". Lineage: Eukaryota; Viridiplantae; Streptophyta; Magnoliopsida; Solanales; Solanaceae. The record is from RNAcentral.
GCAAAUUGAAUUCAACAACAAAAAGAUCAAAACGGGAAAGAAAAACAAGAAGAAAACGGCAAGAGAUCAAAGGAGGCGGAUUUCAAAUCCUAACAUUAAACUAAAUAUUUAAAACCCGUUUCACAUCCGCUUUCUCAAACUCAUACUCUCCCUUCUUCCACCUUUCACAUAUGCCCCCAAUUGAUUUGCGUACUUGUAAAACCCUAACCUUUAAUCUUGCAACCCCACACGCCGCCGCCACCGCCGCCGCCUCUUUUUUUUACGGCAAGAGAUCAAAGGAGGCGGAUUUCAAAUCCUAACAUUAAACUAAAUAUUUAAAACCCGUUUCACAUCCGCUUUCUCAAACUCAUACUCUCCCUUCUUCCACCUUUCACAUAUGCCCCCAAUUGAUUUGCGUACUUGUAAAACCCUAACCUUUAAUCUUGCAACCCCACACGCCGCCGCCACCGCCGCCGCCGCUUUUGUUCUUUCGUUUUCUGUUGGGUUUUGAGUUCAAUUUGAUUUCAUAUAUUCUUGGCUUCACUCUAUUCUAUUCGGUUCUUCAAGUUCCAGUUUGCGAGCUGGCUAUGGACUACGAGCCCUACGAUAGCAGUGG